Molecule: ribosomal RNA, 465 nt
Filed under: uncultured bacterium
Lineage: Bacteria
Description: partial 16S ribosomal RNA
Rfam family: Bacterial small subunit ribosomal RNA
Source: RNAcentral
GACGAACGCUGGCGGCGUGCUUAACACAUGCAAGUCGAACGGAAAGGCCCUGCUUGCAGGGUACUCGAGUGGCGAACGGGUGAGUAACACGUGGGUGAUCUGCCCUGCACUUCGGGAUAAGCCUGGGAAACUGGGUCUAAUACCGGAUAGGAGCCAUUUUUAGUGUGAUGGUUGGAAAGUUUUUUCGGUGUAGGAUGAGCUCGCGGCCUAUCAGCUUGUUGGUGGGGUAAUGGCCUACCAAGGCGGCGACGGGCAGCCGGCCUGAGAGGGUGGACGGCCACAUUGGGACUGAGAUACGGCCCAGACUCCUACGGGAGGCAGCAGUGGGGAAUAUUGCACAAUGGGCGCAAGCCUGAUGCAGCGACGCCGCGUGGGGGAUGACGGCCUUCGGGUUGUAAACGCCUUUCGCUAGGGACGAAGCUUUUUGUGACGGUACCUAGAGAAGAAGCACCGGCUAACUACGUG